GAUGAACGCUGGCGGCGUGCCUAAUACAUGCAAGUCGAGCGAACAGAUAAGGAGCUUGCUCCUUUGACGUUAGCGGCGGACGGGUGAGUAACACGUGGGUAACCUACCUAUAAGACUGGAAUAACUCCGGGAAACCGGGGCUAAUGCCGGAUAACAUUUAGAACCGCAUGGUUCUAAAGUGAAAGAUGGUUUUGCUAUCACUUAUAGAUGGACCCGCGCCGUAUUAGCUAGUUGGUAAGGUAACGGCUUACCAAGGCAACGAUACGUAGCCGACCUGAGAGGGUGAUCGGCCACACUGGAACUGAGACACGGUUCAGACUCCUACGGGAGGCAGCAGUAGGGAAUCUUCCGCAAUGGGCGAAAGCCUGACGGAGCAACGCCGCGUGAGUGAUGAAGGUCUUCGGAUCGUAAAACUCUGUUAUUAGGGAAGAACAAAUGUGUAAGUAACUGUGCACGUCUUGACGGUACCUAAUCAGAAAGCCACGGCUAACUACGUG
Molecule: ribosomal RNA, 497 nt
Filed under: uncultured bacterium
Lineage: Bacteria
Description: partial 16S ribosomal RNA
Rfam family: Bacterial small subunit ribosomal RNA
Source: RNAcentral